RNAcentral lists this ribosomal RNA (253 nucleotides) under uncultured bacterium. Its description in RNAcentral is "partial 16S ribosomal RNA". It matches the Rfam family "Bacterial small subunit ribosomal RNA", at positions 524 to 776 of the family's 1533-position model. The record is from RNAcentral.
UACGAAGGGGGCGAGCGUUGUUCGGAAUUACUGGGCGUAAAGGGCGCGCAGGCGGCUCUGAAAGUCAGAUGUGAAAGCCCCGGGCUUAACCUGGGAAUUGCAUUUGAUACUCUGGAGCUUGAGUGUGGGAGAGGAGAGUGGAAUUCCCGGUGUAGAGGUGAAAUUCGUAGAUAUUGGGAAGAACACCGGUGGCGAAGGCGGGUCUCUGGGCAGUAACUGACGCUGAGGAACGAAAGCGUGGGUAGCGAACAGG